Molecule: unclassified non-coding RNA, 251 nt
Filed under: uncultured Mortierella
Lineage: Eukaryota; Fungi; Mortierellomycota; Mortierellomycetes; Mortierellales; Mortierellaceae
Description: sequence contains ITS2
Source: RNAcentral
AACACCUCAAAGCUUUUGGAUUUUUAAUCGAAAAGCCUUUGGACUUGAGCAAUCCCAACACCAAUCUUUUUGAGAUCGGUGGCGGGUUGCUUGAAAUGCAGGUGCAGCUGGACAUUCUCCUGAGCUAAAAGCAUAUUCAUUUAGUCCCGUCAAACGGAUUAUUACUUUUGCUGCAGCUAACAUAAAGGGAGUUUGACCGUAUUGGCUGACUGAUGCAGGAUUUCACAAGGGUCGGCAACGAUUCUUGUUAA